This 468-nucleotide ribosomal RNA is filed under the name uncultured bacterium. Its description in RNAcentral is "partial 16S ribosomal RNA". It matches the Rfam family "Bacterial small subunit ribosomal RNA", at positions 28 to 507 of the family's 1533-position model. The record is from RNAcentral.
GACGAACGCUGGCGGCGUGCUUAACACAUGCAAGUCGAACGGAAAGGCCCUGCUUUUGUGGGGUGCUCGAGUGGCGAACGGGUGAGUAACACGUGAGUAACCUGCCCUUGACUUUGGGAUAACUUCAGGAAACUGGGGCUAAUACCGGAUAGGAGCUCCUGCUGCAUGGUGGGGGUUGGAAAGUUUCGGCGGUUGGGGAUGGACUCGCGGCUUAUUAGCUUGUUGGUGGGGUAGUGGCUUACCAAGGCUUUGACGGGUAGCCGGCCUGAGUGGGUGACCGGACACAUUGGGACUGAGAUACGGCCCAGACUCCUACGGGAGGCAGCAGUGGGGAAUAUUGCACAAUGGGCGGAAGCCUGAUGCAGCAAAGCCGCGUGCGGGAUGACGGCCUUCGGGUUGUAAACCGCUUUCGCCUGUGACGAAGCGUGAGUGACGGUAAUGGGUAAAGAAGCACCGGCUAACUACGUG